RNAcentral lists this ribosomal RNA (468 nucleotides) under uncultured bacterium. RNAcentral describes it as "partial 16S ribosomal RNA". It matches the Rfam family "Bacterial small subunit ribosomal RNA", at positions 28 to 507 of the family's 1533-position model. The record is from RNAcentral.
GACGAACGCUGGCGGCGUGCUUAACACAUGCAAGUCGAACGGAAAGGCCCUGCUUUUGUGGGGUGCUCGAGUGGCGAACGGGUGAGUAACACGUGAGUAACCUGCCCUUGACUUUGGGAUAACUUCAGGAAACUGGGGCUAAUACCGGAUAGGAGCUCCUGCUGCAUGGAGGGGGUUGGAACGUUUCGGCGGUUGGGGAUGGACUCGCGGCUUAUCAGCUUGUUGGUGGGGUAGUGGCUUACCAAGGCUUUGACGGGUAGCCGGCCUGAGAGGGUGACCGGCCACCAUGGGCCUACGAUACGGCCCAGACUCCUACGGGAGGCAGCAGUGGGGAAUAUUGCACAAUGGGCGGAAGCCUGAUGCAGCAACGCCGCGUGCGGGAUGACGGCCUUCGGGGUGUAAACCGCUUUCGCCUGUGACGAAGCGUGAGUGACGGUAAUGGGUAAAGAAGCACCGGCUAACUACGUG